Molecule: long non-coding RNA, 1244 nt
Organism: Girardinichthys multiradiatus
Lineage: Eukaryota; Metazoa; Chordata; Actinopteri; Cyprinodontiformes; Goodeidae
Exons: 3
Source: RefSeq, a predicted model, not a curated record
AAAGGUGGAGGAACUAAAAUCCCAGUUGUCCAGACAGCAGUCAACAAACUUCAAAAGCGAAAGCCGCCACCAAAGCAUCGGUGAGUCACGCCAUCGUUAAAAACAAUAAGUCCUUCCAAGACGGAGAGAUGGUAAAAGAAGCAUUUGUUGAAGCAGCUGACUCAAGUAAUUCAGAUGAUGAGAGGGUUUUUGAUGCACAAGGACUAGUGGUUCCACGGCGGAUGGUCCGUGAGAUGAAGGCUCGAAUAAACCCAAUGGCAACUGCAAGGAGGUGGAGCAGCGCAGUGUUUCAACGUGUCUAUCAUGCCCCAUAUACCCCAACAGUUUGUGGCAUAUUGAUGGCAACAUGCGUCUCAUAAGGUGGGGCUUUGUGGUCCAUGGUGGAAUUGAUGGAUGGAUGUUCCCGCUUGAUUACUUACUUGAACUGUAGCACAGACAAUCGCGCCUCAACACUGCUGUUUCUCAAAGCAACAGGCCUUUAUGAAUUACCUUCUAGAGUGAGGUCAGAUCAUGGUGGUGAGAAUGUGCAGGUGGCAUUGGUGAUGAACCUCCUACAGGGAAUUGAACAUCCGAGUCACAUUACUGGGGAGUCUAUCCAUAACCGGAUAAUAGAGCGUCUUUAGAGGGAUGUGUUUUUUACACGUUCUGGAACCAUUUUAUAGCAUGUUCUACACUCUUGAAGAUUCAACCCUAUUGGAUCCCAGUGACGAUGUGCACAAACUUUCACUUCACAUAGUUUUUCUUCCUGAGAUUCAAAACCGAUUAGAACAAUUCAGAAAAGCUUGGAACCAUCAUUCCUUGCAUACAGAAAACAACAGAACACCAGCACAAAUCUCGACUGAAGGGAUGUUGGCAAACACGGGUGUCAACAGCACAGCAACAAACAACGUGUUUGGUGAAAAUUCCUACACAGCAGAGACUCUUGAAGAACUUCUGGAACAGCAUGGCCUUGAGCCACUUCCGAAAACUGAUGCUGAGCAGGUCCCUAGUGUAGUUGUAGAACCACCCCAAGUCAGUCUCAGUCAGCAGCAACUUCAGUCAGUUAAUCGUGCAAUCAAUUACAUUUCAGAUCUGAAAAUGGAGUACCGGGCCUGUUGUGCAGAAAUUGCAAAUGUUUUAUUGAAUUAACAUGUAACAAUGUUUGAGAAGGAGGGACAAUAACAUCUGAUUAACAAUCCAAGAACACCUAACAAAAUUCAUUGUUUUGAAGAUACAAUUAUUUCAAAUAAAAAUUUUAGAAUUAA